AGUCAGGUAACGAGCGAGACCCUCGUCCCUAGUUGCCAUCGGUAUUCUCAGGAAAGCCGGGCACUUUAGGGGGACCGCUGGCGCUAAGUCAGAGGAAAAAUAGGGCGACGGUAGGUCAGUAUGCCCCGAAAUCCCUGCGCUACACGCGGGUCACAAUCGCAGGACAAUGAGAUGCAACCCCGUAAGGGGAAAGCCAAACCCUUAAACCUGCGCUCGGUUCGGAUCGAGGGCUGUAACUCGCCCUCGUGAAGCUGGAAUCUCUAGUAAUCCGGUGCCAACACCGCGCGGUGAAAUACGUCCCUGCUCCUUGCACA
This 314-nucleotide ribosomal RNA is filed under the name uncultured archaeon. RNAcentral's name for it is "bacterial SSU rRNA". It matches the Rfam family "Archaeal small subunit ribosomal RNA", at positions 1032 to 1343 of the family's 1478-position model. The record is from RNAcentral.